Mustela erminea (ermine) is the source of this 187-nucleotide long non-coding RNA. RefSeq lists it as uncharacterized. The transcript has 2 exons. The record is from RefSeq and is a predicted model, not a curated record. Lineage: Eukaryota; Metazoa; Chordata; Mammalia; Carnivora; Mustelidae.
GGAGGAGACGGAGGGGACUGACUGCAAAGGCAGUAUGCAGACAUCAAAAUCCCUAUCUUCAUGUUCCUUCUGUUCAAUUUCCUGGAUCUGUACAAAAACCUACUCAAUGGAUCCCUUAAAAAUGCCAUCUCGUAUCUCACUGAUCCUCCGUAUGACAAAAAGAAGCAUGUUACACUAGAUAACUUGG